Chelonoidis abingdonii (Abingdon island giant tortoise) is the source of this 503-nucleotide non-coding RNA. The record is from RefSeq and is a predicted model, not a curated record. NCBI's taxonomy places the organism in Eukaryota, Metazoa, Chordata, Testudines, Testudinidae.
AGAGCUCUAGUUCCUAGAGGUCAGGUGACAGCGCAAGCAAGGCCUGUUGGGAAGGGGCACAGGUUAUAAGUGAAACCUGUUGCAUAGAACAGCGAGACAGGCAGGGGGAGCAGUGUGUCUGGGAGUUUCUUCAGCCCUCAGUCUAGGGAAGGGGGCUGGGAAAGGAGCCAGGGAUGGGCUGCGUCCAGAGGCCUAGAAAAGGCCAGAGAAUAGAAAUGAAGCAAAAUGCAGCUGGAGAAGCAGUGGAGCGUGAACUCAAGGUGGAUAUGGAAUGAGGAUACUGUCAUCUCUCAAAUCUUUCUGGACAUGAACCCCAGACCCUUUUUUGGCCUCUUCAGAGUUUCCUGUAUUUCUCCACCUUUGGGUUGGCUGGCUAUGGGCCUGCAUUUUGCUGCAGUUUUUCCUGGCCUACAGACUCUCUAAAGAUACUACAGUAUGUCAAGCAACACUUCAAAAAAGAGAAAAGAAAUUUCUCUUUACCUCAGAGUCUGUUGCAGAAGGAC